Anopheles gambiae (African malaria mosquito) is the source of this 2480-nucleotide long non-coding RNA. RefSeq lists it as uncharacterized. The record is from RefSeq and is a predicted model, not a curated record. Lineage: Eukaryota; Metazoa; Arthropoda; Insecta; Diptera; Culicidae. The transcript is spliced from 2 exons.
AGCGUAGAAUAAAUAAUAGUCCAGCCGUCCUUUUGUGGCGAUCCGUUGUAAUCGCAAUUAAUUAUUCCCUGUGCGAGUGCGAACAGCCUUUUGCUUUCCAUAUUUUACUGCCAACUACUGACGUCAUUACGUUUUCGGUAUCACGUCUCGCCAGAUGAACCGCAAAACCUCUGUAACGGAAAGGUCCCAUCUCCAGGUACCCGUUUCCGGCACCGACGUCGUUGCCACGUGCGCAGCAAAUUAAAUUUUCAUCUUGAAAGAUUGCGGUUUUAGCUUCCAAAACAACCACCGUUGGGGCGUACGUCAUGAUCGAAGGAGGCUUAUGACCGUCCAAAUGCUUGGACCAAACGAUAGACAACCGGUUUUCAGUAGAACAAUGGUAGGCAAAAACAGCGGGUUCAGCGCAGUGUUUUUUAAUGUUUUAUCAACACAGCAGUGCGAACAGUAUUGAUAAGGAGCCGUGCGAAAAUCAGUUCGCAGGGGUCCUUCGCUAUAAAUACUUCCAUGAUAAUGGGCCCAGACAAUGUCAGCCUUGCCAGAUUAGUGAAGGAUGUUUAUGAAAGGCGAGACAUGUUUUUACUCCCAGCAGGCGAUUUCGUUCCAAUGCCCCCCGCGCAUGCGAUUCCAGAUUGUCACUGAAUGCCUCGGCAGAUGCAGCGUUACAAGGGGUGAAGGAAUUAUUCAAGAUCGUGGCAACAAUCGAUGGACCAAGGAAAGGACACGUUAUUUUCUAAAUCACGAUGAAGUAACACUGAUGUUCCCUGUAACUUACAAUUUGUUGUCAUAUAUUGGAAUAACUCUUCUACUUGAACAUACUAGUUUUAUUAUGAUUCUUACCAAAAAUCAUACAACCCAAUCAAACAACAACAACAACAACAACAACAACCCUCCUGCUAAACCGGUUCCAGUAAGGUGAAUAGUGAUUGUUGUUCUUUCUUUUCCUUAUUUUCCAAAUUCUUAUGCGAAUACCAUUUUACACACGCAUUAAAAAACACUUACCGAGUCCAUACUUGUUGCGGCCAGUCAACAAUGCGUGAUGAUUGUUCAUAGGCACCACUGUCCGUGCAGACGAUGAACUUUGACGAAGUCCUGAUGCUGGCAUGGGAGAUUGUGUUGAGAAGAGUGGUACCAGCAGUUUGUCGAACUGCUUGGUCAACAAAUCAGACUUGCUCACUUGACGCAACAUUAUGGACACUUUAAUCGUUUCACCGGCACACUACGAUCUGCGUACACGACACCUGAUUUAUACGUUGCUUGAUCUACGCACACACGAAUGGCAAAUGGCAAGCUGCUACCGGUUGAAUUGUUUCUCCGCCGUAGGUCACUUGUUUCAGACACACUUGCGCCGUGUUUCACUUCCCGUGUUGAACUGAUCGUUCCACGCUGAUGCGGCGUCUACCAUAUGUACAAGACGGGCCCCCGAAUUUCCAUACACACCACACACGCUCAUUAUCAGUACACAAAGCAACAGCCGGGAUUUGCCGUCGCAAAAAGGGUAGAAAAAAAGGUAACCAAACUUAUCGCACCGGGAGAUGACUGAUUACUCUUUUGAAGGAACGGUUUAACACUGCACCGUAUGCCGUGGACACUACUGCCAGGGGCCAUAAACUUGCGGCCCGUGGGUUCUUCGUCACUAAGCUCGUAUUGCAUCGAUAGCAUUGUUGUGCCACCGACUUGUUCCCAUUACCUGUACACGCACCUUGCCACAGGGUAUGACGAUUUGGGCACCCGAAAUCGGUUGCUGCGUUGUUGCUUAGCGACAAUGAAUUCGCUGAUAACGCACGCUGCCUGUUUGAGUAGAUGACGCAUGGAUCGAUCUGAACGCGUUACGAUGAUAGGGUAUCAUCGUGUAAACGAUCGUUAUUUAGAACAAUAAUAGCCAAGCACAAAUGAUACUAGAAGAUUCUUCACGACACCUUACCAUAACACGACCUUACACGAUCAAGCGAAAGCUAUUGCCUUUAAUUGUUUGACAUAUGUUUGAAAACGAUAAUACUUAUCGUACUGUCCGUGUUAAGUUUCAUCAGUAUGGAGUUUGUCUACAUGAAUAAUGAUUCAUGUAUUUAUACUUCGUUUAUAUUUAUGUAGCAGAAUUGUAAUUGAAGUUAAAAAAAUCAAACGUAAAUAAAGACAAUGUUCUUAGGUAUUACAGUAAUGCAAAAAUGUAGCAAAAUGGCAGUAAAUCUGUUACAAAAAUUAAUAUUAGAUUUCUCAAUGCUUUUUAACCCUAUGACUUCUCUUACACAUCACACAAAAGAAUAGGCUCACAAUAGAACGCACACUGUCAAUUGAAUAUUAAUGGAAGACUUUAGCUUUAUAAUAAAUUUUGAACACAAAACUAUCGUUUCUAUUUAACAAUAUGUACGUGUCCUUCACAUGCAACUUUUAUGAAUUACAACACAGAAUAGAAACAAAACAUAUUACAAUGCAAUUUGAAUAAAAUAUCAUUUAGUGAAUAAAACACUAUUCUGAGAUAAUGU